This 909-nucleotide ribosomal RNA is filed under the name Curvularia papendorfii. Its description in RNAcentral is "LSU rRNA". It matches the Rfam family "Eukaryotic large subunit ribosomal RNA", at positions 36 to 963 of the family's 3401-position model. The record is from RNAcentral. Lineage: Eukaryota; Fungi; Ascomycota; Dothideomycetes; Pleosporales; Pleosporaceae.
UAGCAUAUCAAUAAGCGGAGGAAAAGAAACCAACAGGGAUUGCCCUAGUAACGGCGAGUGAAGCGGCAACAGCUCAAAUUUGAAAUCUGGCUCUUUCAGAGUCCGAGUUGUAAUUUGCAGAGGGCGCUUUGGCUUUGGCAGCGGUCCAAGUUCCUUGGAACAGGACGUCACAGAGGGUGAGAAUCCCGUACGUGGUCGCUAGCUAUUGCCGUGUAAAGCCCCUUCGACGAGUCGAGUUGUUUGGGAAUGCAGCUCUAAAUGGGAGGUAAAUUUCUUCUAAAGCUAAAUAUUGGCCAGAGACCGAUAGCGCACAAGUAGAGUGAUCGAAAGAUGAAAAGCACUUUGGAAAGAGAGUCAAACAGCACGUGAAAUUGUUGAAAGGGAAGCGCUUGCAGCCAGACUUGCUUGCAGUUGCUCAUCCGGGCUUUUGCCCGGUGCACUCUUCUGCAGGCAGGCCAGCAUCAGUUUGGGCGGUGGGAUAAAGGUCUCUGUCACGUACCUCUCUUCGGGGAGGCCUUAUAGGGGAGACGACAUACCACCAGCCUGGACUGAGGUCCGCGCAUCUGCUAGGAUGCUGGCGUAAUGGCUGUAAGCGGCCCGUCUUGAAACACGGACCAAGGAGUCUAACAUCUAUGCGAGUGUUUGGGUGUCAAGCCCGAGCGCGUAAUGAAAGUGAACGGAGGUGGGAACCCGCAAGGGCGCACCAUCGACCGAUCCUGAAGUUUACGGAAGGAUUUGAGUAAGAGCAUGGCUGUUGGGACCCGAAAGAUGGUGAACUAUGCUUGAAUAGGGUGAAGCCAGAGGAAACUCUGGUGGAGGCUCGCAGCGGUUCUGACGUGCAAAUCGAUCGUCAAAUUUGGGCAUAGGGGCGAAAGACUAAUCGAACUAUCUAGUAGCUGGUUCCUGCGA